This 253-nucleotide ribosomal RNA is filed under the name uncultured bacterium. RNAcentral describes it as "partial 16S ribosomal RNA". It matches the Rfam family "Bacterial small subunit ribosomal RNA", at positions 524 to 776 of the family's 1533-position model. The record is from RNAcentral.
UACGUAGGGACCAAGCGUUGUUCGGAUUUACUGGGCGUAAAGGGCGCGUAGGCGGCGUGGUAAGUCGCUUGUGAAAUCUCUGAGCUUAACUCAGAACGGCCAAGUGAUACUGCUGUGCUAGAGUGCAGAAGGGGCAAUCGGAAUUCUUGGUGUAGCGGUGAAAUGCGUAGAUAUCAAGAGGAACACCUGAGGUGAAGACGGGUUGCUGGGCUGACACUGACGCUGAGGCGCGAAAGCCAGGGGAGCAAACAGG